UACCGCGUAGCUCAGUUGGUAGAGCAUCGAUCUAGUAAUUCGAAGGUCGCGGGUUCAACACCCAGGCGCGGCAG
RNAcentral lists this transfer RNA (74 nucleotides) under Paramuricea clavata. RNAcentral's name for it is "tRNA-Thr". It matches the Rfam family "tRNA". Rfam says of the family: Transfer RNA (tRNA) molecules are approximately 80 nucleotides in length. Their secondary structure includes four short double-helical elements and three loops (D, anti-codon, and T loops). The record is from RNAcentral. Lineage: Eukaryota; Metazoa; Cnidaria; Anthozoa; Malacalcyonacea; Plexauridae.